CGGCGGACGGGUGAGUAACACGUGGAUAACCUACCUAUAAGACUGGGAUAACUUCGGGAAACCGGAGCUAAUACCGGAUAAUAUAUUGAACCGCAUGGUUUCAUGAUGAAAGACGGUUUUGCUGUCACUUAUAGAUGGACCCGCGGCGUAUUAGCUAGUUGGUAAGGUAACGGCUUACCAAGGCAACGAUGCGUAGCCGACCUGAGAGGGUGAUCGGCCACACUGGAACUGAGACACGGUCCAG
This 244-nucleotide ribosomal RNA is filed under the name uncultured Staphylococcus sp. RNAcentral describes it as "partial 16S ribosomal RNA". It matches the Rfam family "Bacterial small subunit ribosomal RNA", at positions 96 to 334 of the family's 1533-position model. Lineage: Bacteria; Bacillati; Bacillota; Bacilli; Caryophanales; Staphylococcaceae. The record is from RNAcentral.